AGGCUUUCUACUGUCAAUGUUCAAUUAGCCCUAAAUCUGAUGUAAUCCACAAUAAGUCCACGUGUUCAUAAGGUUUUCUACUCUCUCUUCCUCUCUCGUACGUAAGGCUUUCUACGCUCUCUCGCUCUCUUUUUCUUCUAAUUGUUCUAAUUAUGGUCUAGGGUUCCACCAAAUUCAAUGAGACAAUUCAACUCAAUUUUGGUCAAAUAAACAAUAGACUGUUAGUUUAUUUUUGGCUCUGCAAGGAGAUGAAUUUUGAUAUGAAUUUUCUAAUUUAUAUGAGGACACAUUUUUAAUCCCAUCUGAAUAUCAGCAAUCACAAUCCCAUCUGUAAUCCCAUCAGCAAACUCAAUUUUAUUUGUAAUCCCAUAUUCAGUUUGAGUUAUACCUCAUAUUCAUAUUCAUAUGAAUUUCUAAUUUCUAUCUUAUAUAUAUGAAUUUGAGUUAUAAUCCAUAUGAAUUUGGUAGAAUUGUCUCGUUCAAUUUAUUGGCUCUGCUCGACCUAAGGAAAAGUGGAAACAUUUGUAAUCUCAUCUGAAUAUCAGCAAUCAUAAUCCUCUACCCACCUCCCCUAAAACAGACUCGCAAACUAAAAGCUAAUAAAGGAAUAAAAAAGAAAAGGAGAAGUGCAGUUUGAUAUCUCCAACUAGAAUUAUCUAACCAACCCUAGAAAGAUGAUAUUUCCAUGCUGUUUCUCUAGUAAUAAGCCUGCAAAUUCUUAGAAUCCUGUUAUAUUAAUUUUACGAUAGAAUUUGAAAGAUGACGACAAUGUAAAUAAGAAUUUAAUUUCUGAUGCAGAUUAAGAAGAAUGAACUAGCUGAGGAGAAUUUUUCUGCAGGAGUAAGCAAAUAUGAUUAGGUAAUUAUAUUGCACGAGUAUUCGUUAUCAGGUUGUCAAACUUUUAUCAUUUGAUUGAUAUUUCCGAUCUAUAUAGAAAUCUGGUAUUAUGCAGAAAUUUAUGAGUAUGUGGCAUUUUUUGGGACUAAAUGACCCAGUCUUUACUUCUUUUUGUAAAUUAAUUUUUUGAGAGAUGAAGCAAGACAUACCAAUGAGCAUUUCAGAGCUUGUUCAUAUAAAUCGAAAUUAAAUUGAUAUUUUGGUGAAUUUUCAAAGCUAAAGGUAUGAUGCAGAAACACAGAAAUUCAGCAGCCUAACCUGUUUUGAAUGAAAUCUUUGACAUUAUUUCUCAACUCCAAAUCGAAUGAAUCAUGACAUGAUUCCUUAAUUUGAUUAAUUGUUAUUAUCUAUCGUUGUAGGAUAACACAUAUGCUCCUGACGUAUAUAGUCUUUAUUGCUUCAGUACAGUCGGUAAUAGAUGGAGAGAUUGAAAGUGUCG
This 1336-nucleotide long non-coding RNA is filed under the name Malus domestica (apple). RNAcentral describes it as "long non-coding RNA (MDOM_LNC009138)". Lineage: Eukaryota; Viridiplantae; Streptophyta; Magnoliopsida; Rosales; Rosaceae. The record is from RNAcentral.